GCCACGGCCUGUUGUAGUACA
Molecule: microRNA, 21 nt
Filed under: Mesocestoides corti
Lineage: Eukaryota; Metazoa; Platyhelminthes; Cestoda; Cyclophyllidea; Mesocestoididae
Description: mco-miR-12069-3p
Source: miRBase by way of RNAcentral